Molecule: non-coding RNA, 121 nt
Organism: Decorospora gaudefroyi
Lineage: Eukaryota; Fungi; Ascomycota; Dothideomycetes; Pleosporales; Pleosporaceae
Source: the annotation of a GenBank genome assembly
GUCUCGGUGGCGCAAUGGUAGCGCGUUGGACUUCUACUGUUUUCAAAACCGUUUGGUAAUUGAUUUACUUUGCACAAAAACGGUUAUCCAAAGGCUGCGGGUUCGAGCCCCGCCCGAGAUG